Echinostoma caproni is the source of this 45-nucleotide non-coding RNA. NCBI's taxonomy places the organism in Eukaryota, Metazoa, Platyhelminthes, Trematoda, Plagiorchiida, Echinostomatidae. The record is from Rfam.
GCACUGCUGAUGAGACCCAACAAGGUCGAAAGAGCUGUCCAGUGC